This 218-nucleotide long non-coding RNA is filed under the name Columba livia (rock pigeon). RNAcentral describes it as "partial uncharacterized LOC102091684". Lineage: Eukaryota; Metazoa; Chordata; Aves; Columbiformes; Columbidae. The record is from RNAcentral.
CUGAUGUGAAGGAAGCUGCUGCCCAAGUAGGUUUUCUCCUUCAUGAAUCUCUGAAAAGCCAAAUAAGAGUUGAAUCUAUAUCAGUAUCUCUAAGCAACAAUGAUAGCCAUCUGCAAAGCGUCAUUUCAGGACAGUGCUACAAUUUUGUUUGUAUAAAUGAUAAAAACCAUGCUGUUCAAGAAACCCAGCAAGUAGUGGAUAUGUUGGAAAAAUCAAAU